RNAcentral lists this long non-coding RNA (2938 nucleotides) under Sus scrofa (pig). RNAcentral describes it as "lncRNA (ENSSSCG00000048168.1)". Lineage: Eukaryota; Metazoa; Chordata; Mammalia; Artiodactyla; Suidae. The record is from RNAcentral.
AACUAUUUAAUCAAAAAGUUUCUAAACUUACAUAGAUCAUUUACUUGACUCAUUCUUUUACAUUAAUUUUAUUUCUUUUAAUAUAUGAAGUCUUUGUUCUUAAAUAGUCUUAUUCAUAAACCAGAUACAUUUAAGUUGACAUCCUUAGCAUUCAUAAUUUUUCUACAAAGACUAGUGAGGUAGUUAUUUUUAGCUUAAGCUUUUAGUCCGGUUUGCCUGGGCUGCUAUCUUUUGACUUGAUUUAAAGGCUUUUCCUGUCAAUGAUUUCAUAUUAGGAACUUGUGUCAGUUUAUUUUUUGCCUUAUUAUCUUUCAUGAUCUAUUCUCUUUUAUCAAGUCUAUGAAUUCAAUAGUAUUCUACUUCAUAAACAUUGUUUUUAAAUCUUUAGUUGUUUUAGGCAUCUAAUAAGCUGUUAUAUAUGAGGCCUCAAUUAGCACUUAAAAUGGUAGCAUAGGUUAAGCCCUGAAAAAUAAUGCAAGAACAUGAAAAAUAAAGAAGUAAAAUCUAAAAUUUUCUUUCAGUUAUUUCAAGGUACAAUUCAGUCACAAAAGAAAAGAUUGAAUUUUGGGGAAAUCAACAGGGGUGGCAUGAAAAAUAUUUACUUGAAAUGAUUAAAUUAUGUUAUACUUUCUAAGACAUUUAUCAGUAAAGAAUCUUUUCUAAUUAAGGAAGGAAUUAUUUGCUUGCUAAAUAAAAAAUAUUUGCAAUUUGUAUUACUAGGAAUCUUAAUAUAAGGCAUUUAGAUUUAGACAAAUAUUAAAUUACUAUUUAUCACUGUAUAAAUAACUAUAUGUUUCAAAAAUAUGCAGAAACUUAAAAAUAUUUAUAAACACCUUAAAGAUUUAUAAUAGCUUUUCUUGCAUACAUUUAUUUAUCUUUAAGUUACUCUAAUAAUGGUUUCCUUCAUGUCCUAAUCUAGAGGAAAACUAUUUUGAAGAAAAAAAAGUAACUGGCAAAGCUUUAAAAUUGUUAUUAUAUUGGAAAAAGACAAAUGAAAAAAAUGAGAUAAAAGAUGAAAGUGAUUUGAAAGUGGUAACUAUUAAAUUGUUCAAAUUUUUAUAUAAAGUAUUUAUUAUAUAAACAUUCAAAAUAAAAUGUAAAGAUAUGUUGCCAUUAAAUAAAUAAUUCUCACUUUUCCUCAGCUAUUAAUAUUCUAUAGUUUGUUUAAAUGUUGAGCUCUUAGAGAGUGUUCCAUAAUCCCCAGGGAAUCUCCAAGACUUUCAGGAGGCCCACAAUGUCAAAUUCUUUUUGUGUUAAUUCUAAGAUGCUAUUUGCCAUUUUCACAAUCUUGAUACUUGCACUGAUGGUGCAGAAGUAAUGAUGAGUGAAAUUUCUGAUGUCUUUUCAUGAAUCAAGGCAGUGGCACCAAACUGCUGGUAGUUACUGGCUUCUUCACUGUGACGUACUUACUCACAGUUAAAGAAAAAUUUCCAGUUUUAAGAAUGCCCUGGAUGAGGCAAUAAAUGUUAACUUUAUUACAUUUGACCCUGGCGCACACUCAGUUUUCUGAGCUGUACUUUAUUAUAAUAUUUUGAGUGACUUCUGUAUAAUAACUUUGAUAUUUUUGCAUUUAUAUUUUUCAUUCAGUGUAGACCUAAAUAGCCAAUUAUUUCAUCUGAUGCCCAAAGAAGUAGAAAUUUGCUCAAAUCUUUAAGAAAACAUUGAUAAAUGGUAUUUUUGAACAGUGUUGUUGUAUAAGCAAUACUAAAGGAUAUAGCUUAUGGUUGAGUGAAGGGAUUUCCGUGAGUAAUUUUGACUGUGUACAUUUUUUUGGACUCAUGGGUCAACUUAGGCACUGACUCCUGAAAAUGAUGCUCCCGGCUGCUCUGCAGUACAUUCCAUCACCUGCUGUGCAUGGGAAUGAUGGAGCAUGAAUAGCAUUUGAUUAUGAUUAAAAAAAAAGCAACCAUUCACACCUCUUCAUCAAAUGCACUGUACAUAUUUUUGGAGCAUAAAGUGAAGCGUAAUGACCUGAUAUGAUUACAGGCAAGAGUAAAACUUCAAAGGAACAUUUUUAGGAGUGCAGAAAGUGGCAACUAUAGUUAAGUACCUGGAUCCUACCAUUUAUUACACCAUGUAGAAAAACCUCUUCUCAAGCCACUUUAUAUUUAAUUUGUGCUAACAUCUCAAGGGUACCAAAUGCUGCAACUUAUCACUGGCAGUGAGUACUUCUAGGGCAGAGACUCAAUUUUUAUCAUUGCUUAGAAGUCAUUUUCUUUAUGGGUAGUGGAAAUGAUUUAAAGGCUGGAGGAAAUAAAGUAGUCAAGGUAAUAAUUUUUUCUAAGUACUCUCAUGUUCUGUAGAAAAAUAUGUUUAAAUAUAAACAAUAAAUAUUGCUAAUUAAAAUAAUUACUUUUCCUCCUAUUUAUUUUAGAAUACUCUUUCUAUGAAGUAAUAUCUUGCCUGCAUUUAUUAAAAAAUAAUAUAAAAUUAUAUGGUUACACUUGCCUUUUACAGUAGGUAAACUGUUGUUAGAUUGGUAAAUGAGGAAUCUAUUCUACAUAUAUAAAUAUAUCAUAAUAUCUUUGUGGCCAAAGAAAAGGUCUAUGUUCUAAAUGAUGAUAUUGUUAAUUAAUUUUAACUAAUUAGCAGACCAGUCUUGAUUAGUGGAACCAUAAUACCCAAGACAAAAUUCUAUAGUAGCUAUCUAUGUGCCUUGUUGUUUUUAUCCUAAGAUAUUUAUUAUAUAUUUGCAUGAGGGGAGUUCCCGUUGUGGCGCAGUGGUUAACGAAUCCGACUAGGAACCAUGAGGUUGCAGGUUCAGUCCCUGGCCUUGCUCAGUGGGUUAACGAUCCGGCGUUGCCGUGAGCUGUGGUGUAGGUUGCAGACACGGCUCAGAUCCUGCGUUGCUGUGGCUCUGGCGUAGGCUGGUGGCUACAGCUCUGAUUAGACCCCUAGCCUGGGAACCUCCAUAUGCCAUGGGAGCGGCCCAAGAAAA